AGGCGGUGUAGCUCAGCUGGCUAGAGCGUACGGUUCAUACCCGUGAGGUCGGGGGUUCGAUCCCNUCAUCCGACUG
Molecule: transfer RNA, 76 nt
Filed under: Staphylococcus aureus
Lineage: Bacteria; Bacillati; Bacillota; Bacilli; Caryophanales; Staphylococcaceae
Description: tRNA-Met(cat)
Rfam family: tRNA
About the family: Transfer RNA (tRNA) molecules are approximately 80 nucleotides in length.
Source: RNAcentral